RNAcentral lists this long non-coding RNA (449 nucleotides) under Homo sapiens (human). Its description in RNAcentral is "LHRI_LNC94.1". Lineage: Eukaryota; Metazoa; Chordata; Mammalia; Primates; Hominidae. The record is from RNAcentral.
CCUCAUUCAUUUAUUCAGGCAACCAUUCAGUGUUUACCGAGCCAACUCUGUGUUCCGGAUACAGCCCUGACCAUUCGGUCCGAGGAGGUGUCAGUAAACAAACAAGGUCGUUCCUUUGGGUUAGCUUUAGAAUUCCUUGGGCUUGGAGGCGGAAAGAAGAGAUCUUAGCGAUCUCCACAGUUUCCUCAUCUGUGAAAUAGAGAUAAUAGAAAUUCCUACCUCAUAGGGUUGUGGUGACGGCUCAGUAGAAACCGGGUGACGCUCCUGCUUGCAGCGUUUGACUUGUGGCUUAGCGUCAUUACCCGCUUACGUUGGCAGAAAACAUGUUGUCAAGUAAUAACAAACCUUCCCAGAGGUUACGUUUAUUAGCGUCCUGUCCUUACUCCUUCCCCGCAGGGGUCUGGAGGUCGGUACUUAGUUUCCCUACUUUAGGGAUGAAAAUAGGGAGG